RNAcentral lists this ribosomal RNA (476 nucleotides) under uncultured bacterium. Its description in RNAcentral is "bacterial SSU rRNA". It matches the Rfam family "Bacterial small subunit ribosomal RNA", at positions 903 to 1397 of the family's 1533-position model. The record is from RNAcentral.
AAAGGAAUAGACGGGGCCCCGCACAAGCAGCGGAGCGUGUGGUUUAAUUCGAGGCUACACGAAGAACCUUACCUAGACUUGACAUCCCGGGAACCCCCGUGAAAGCGGGGUGCCGAAAGGCCGAGGAGACAGGUGCUGCAUGGCUGUCGUCAGCUCGUGUCGUGAGAUGUUCGGUUAAGUCCGAAAACGAGCGCAACCCUUGGGUCUAGUUACACGUGUCUAGACCAACUGCCUGCGACAAGUGGGAGGAAGGUGGGGAUGACGUCAAGUCAGCAUGGCCUUUAUGUCUAGGGCUACACACACGCUACAAUGGCGCGUACAAUGGGAAGCAAGACCGCGAGGUGGAGCGAAUCCUGAAAGCGCGUCGUAGUUCGGAUUGCAGGCUGCAACUCGCCUGCAUGAAGCUGGAGUUGCUAGUAAACGCAGGUCAGCAUACUGCGUUGAAUACGUUCUCGGGGCUUGUACACACCGCCCGU